UUAUUUAAAAUAUUAUAUUGUUUUUUGGUUUUUUUUUAUUAUUUAAUAAAAAUAAUUUUAUUGUUUUAAUGUCUUAGUAUAUCUUCUAGAAUACACAUUUCUAAAUUAUAGUUUAUAAGUAAUGUAAAUGGAUUAUGAAAUAUUUAUUUAAAUUUUAUAAAGUAGAUUUAAUUUAUUGUACCUUUUGUAUCAGGGUUUAUCAAAAUUAUUUAAUUAUUUAUUUAUCUCGAUUUAGGUUGAUUUACAAUAACUUUAAAUUUAUUGUUUCAUAAUUAUUUUUAAAUUUAUUGUAGAAAUGAAAUGUUAAUCGUUUCCUAAAAUAUCUAGUUUCUUAAGAAAAAUUUUAAUUUUUUGUAGUUAAUUGUUUUUAUUUAAUUUUAAAAUUAAAAAAUAUUAACUUAUUAAUUCUUUAGGGGAUAAGCUCUAAAGUUAAAAUUCUAUAAUUAAUAUUAUAAAAAUAUAAUAGUAAGCUUUAAACCAGCUAUCUUUAGAUUACGUUUUAGUUCAUUAUUUUUUAUUUUGAUUUUAUAAAAGUUUUAGAUUUUAUAUUAAGAUGAAGAAUUUAAUUUUACAAUUUUUGUAAUAAUGAUAGAAUUAGUAUAAUAUAUUUGUUUAUAAUAUUUAAUAUUGUUAAUUUAUUAUGAGGAACUAGGCAAAUAUGAAUUCCGCCUGUUUAUCAAAAACAUGUCCUCUUGAUUAAUAUUUUGAGGUCUGGCCUGCUCACUGACAAAUGUUUUAAAGAGCCGCGGUAUUUUGACCGUGCAAAGGUAGCAUAAUCAUUAGUCUCUUAAUUAGGGGCUGGAAUGAAUGGCUUGACGAGAAUUCAUCUGUCUUUUAAUAAUUUAUAUAAUUUAACUUUUAAGUCAAAAGGCUUAAAUUUAUUUUUAGGACGAGAAGACCCUAUAGAGCUUAACAUUUUAAUUGUAUAUAGUUUUUUGUUUAGUUUUUCUAUAAAUGAUGUUGAUGUUUUGUUGGGGUGACAUGAAGAAUAAAUAAACUCUUCAUUAUUAAAUCAUUAAUUUAUGUUAUUAUGAUCCAUAAUUUAUGAUCAUAAGAUUAAGUUACCUUAGGGAUAACAGCGUAAUUGUUUUCGAGAGCUCAUAUCGACAAAGCAGAUUGCGACCUCGAUGUUGGAUUAAGAAAAAUUUUAGGUGUAGGAGCCUAAAAAUUAGGUCUGUUCGACCUUUAAAUUCUUACAUGAUCUGAGUUCAGACCGGCGUGAGCCAGGUCGGUUUCUAUCCUAAAUUAAUAAAUAUUUACAUUAGUACGAAAGGACCAUGUAGAUUAAAUAUUUUAUAUUUAUUGAUUAAAAUUAAUAUGA
RNAcentral lists this ribosomal RNA (1321 nucleotides) under Kosciuscola tristis (chameleon grasshopper). RNAcentral describes it as "16S ribosomal RNA". The stretch from base 572 to 1321 matches the Rfam family "Archaeal large subunit ribosomal RNA", at positions 1423 to 2811 of the family's 2987-position model. Lineage: Eukaryota; Metazoa; Arthropoda; Insecta; Orthoptera; Acrididae. The record is from RNAcentral.